UGCUCUCCCGAGCCCCAGCUGGGGUCCUGUCCUGUGGGCCCCGGAGCCAGGCUGCAGGGAGACCGGGGGACAGCGGUGCACCAGUCCGCUGCCCUUGUGCUUCUCACAGCGGCCUUGGCCGGCUUCCCGCUGCCUGCUGGAGGAGGUUACCGGUGUCCACCGCCUUGUGUCCCGGUCACCAAGUGUCCCUCCCGCAUGUCCUCUCCUGUGCCUGCCGGCCGCGUGCCUGCAGGACCUUCCUGCGCUCAAGUUGUCCUGGUGGGGCCUUCACGCAGCUCCCGGAGACGCCUGACUCAGAUUCCACCAAACACUCAACCCCCUCGAAUAGCUCCAACCCCAGUGGCCCGCCAAGCCCCAACUCGCCCCACAGGAGCCAGCUUCCCCUCGACAGCCUGGAGCAGCCCGCUGGCGACGCCUGAGGCCCCCUCACCCCGAGCAGUGCCAAGACUGAGCUGACAGUGUUGUCCGCAGAGAUGCAGUCAUCUGUAGAUACAAAACGAAUCUGUAUUAUAAUAAUGACCAGAUGGAUGGCACAUCCCAUGGCGUAGUCCAGAUCGCUCAUCUGCAUAGCUGUGAGGCGACACGUUCCGUUUGCACAUGAAGGACCACCGCACACCUCACCCGCACUGCCGGCAUGGCUCUGGGCCUCGCCUGUGCAGGACCUCAGCACCUGUCUCUCCCCUGUUCCUCGAAACCAUUCCCAAGCCCCUAGGAGAAUAACAGCAAGUUGUGUGCCCUCCCAGCAUCUCAAGACUCACGGACAGGGAGAGCGCAGGUUGGCUGUGGCAGCCGAGUUCACUUUCCCAUUGCACAGCCAGCUGCAGGUGCUGCUGCUGCUGCCUGGCUGUGGACAGAGCCCCAGGCCCAGUGGCACCACAUCCCUCGAGGGAGUCCAUGCUGGGUCACAGCAGAGCCAGCGUGUGUCAUGGAGCAGGCAGGCCACUCUGCCUGCUGGGAGAGAUGCCCAGAGUCUGGGGAGUGCACAGCAGUCAUGGGACCCCUUCCUGCCGCCCGCCCACCCCACCCCGCAUGGAGCCCAUUCCAACCGGGUGGAGACACCGGACACUUCCCCCUCAGUGGCCCGCGUGGCCGGGAUGCCCUUGUGUAUUUAAUCGCACCCUCUCGUGUCCCGUGUCGGGUCAGGUCUGUGGUCCCAUUGUAAAGGCUUGUGAUUGACUGGUGACAGACUCGGCUUGUCCCCAGCUAGCUGUUCAGGACCUGCACUUGGCUGAGUUCGACACUGAGGGCCACACCAUGGUCACGCCCAGCACCUGCUGCCCCACCCACCUUCCAGGCCUGUGUCGCCAAGGUCCCUGCUGGGGGUUCUGGUUUUUACUUUUCUAAUGUAAGUCUGAGUCUUUGUAAUUAUUGAAUUGUGAGAACAUUUUUGAACAAUUUAUCUGUCAAUAAAGCAGAAGAUGGCAGUUUUAAAGCUCUCCGUGGUUUGGGUAUGGUGGUGUCACCCCAAGUGUGCCUGAGUACCUGGGAGCACCUCAUAAUGGCAGUUGCCCCAGACAACAGUGAAGGCAGAGUUCAUGAAAGGGCAGCCCUAUCCAUGUGGCAGCAGUGGGCGCCCGGAGCCCGGGGUCACAUCUCUGCCAGUUUCCAGGUCCCCCAGAGGGGCAUCAGUGGGGCAAGGGACAGGGGUCUCAGCCUGAGGGCAGCGAGCCCUUGAGGUCAUGGUCAGUGGGAGCUGGGCAUUGCGCCCACAAGCCUGGCAGCAGAGUGGGCCCUGGCCACACACAGGACAGGCGGGACCAGCGCGGGGCCACCCCUCCCCUGCCAGGCCAGCUGUCAGGUUGGGGUUGUCUGCCUUCUGCCGAG
This 1824-nucleotide long non-coding RNA is filed under the name Heterocephalus glaber (naked mole-rat). Its description in RNAcentral is "lncRNA (ENSHGLG00100043092.1)". Lineage: Eukaryota; Metazoa; Chordata; Mammalia; Rodentia; Bathyergidae. The record is from RNAcentral.